CGCCCAGAUCCUGGCGUUGAAGAUCGGAGACACGCGCCUCAGCACCAUGGAGACGGGCACCGGACUCAUCCGCGCGAUGAUAGAGGUGAUCAACUAUAAAUGUGACCUGGUUAACUACAGCUAUGGAGAAGCUACCCACUGGCCCAACUCAGGGAGGAUCUGUGAGGUGAUUGGUGAAGUGUCUGGUAACUCUGUGUGUCCUCUGUGUUGUCCAACAGGAGGAUCUGUGAGG
Oncorhynchus nerka (sockeye salmon) is the source of this 232-nucleotide long non-coding RNA. RefSeq lists it as uncharacterized. The record is from RefSeq and is a predicted model, not a curated record. NCBI's taxonomy places the organism in Eukaryota, Metazoa, Chordata, Actinopteri, Salmoniformes, Salmonidae. The transcript is spliced from 3 exons.